This 492-nucleotide ribosomal RNA is filed under the name uncultured bacterium. RNAcentral's name for it is "partial 16S ribosomal RNA". It matches the Rfam family "Bacterial small subunit ribosomal RNA", at positions 29 to 507 of the family's 1533-position model. The record is from RNAcentral.
AGUGAACGCUGGCGGUAGGCCUAACACAUGCAAGUCGAACGGCAGCACAGUAAGAGCUUGCUCUUACGGGUGGCGAGUGGCGGACGGGUGAGGAAUACAUCGGAAUCUACUUUUUCGUGGGGGAUAACGUAGGGAAACUUACGCUAAUACCGCAUACGACCUACGGGUGAAAGCAGGGGAUCUUCGGACCUUGCGCGAUUGAAUGAGCCGAUGUCGGAUUAGCUAGUUGGCGGGGUAAAGGCCCACCAAGGCGACGAUCCGUAGCUGGUCUGAGAGGAUGAUCAGCCACACUGGAACUGAGACACGGUCCAGACUCCUACGGGAGGCAGCAGUGGGGAAUAUUGGACGAUGGGCGCAAGCCUGAUCCAGCCAUACCGCGUGGGUGAAGAAGGCCUUCGGGUUGUAAAGCCCUUUUGUUGGGAAAGAAAAGCAGCAGGUUAAUACCCCGCUGUCCUGACGGUACCCAAAGAAUAAGCACCGGCUAACUUCGUG